RNAcentral lists this ribosomal RNA (301 nucleotides) under uncultured bacterium. RNAcentral describes it as "partial 16S ribosomal RNA". It matches the Rfam family "Bacterial small subunit ribosomal RNA", at positions 509 to 809 of the family's 1533-position model. The record is from RNAcentral.
CAGUAGCCGCGGGAAAACGUAGGGUGCAAGCGUUAAUCGGAAUUACUGGGCGUAAAGCGUGCGCAGGCGGUUAUAUAAGACAGAUGUGAAAUCCCCGGGCUCAACCUGGGAACUGCAUUUGUGACUGUAUAGCUAGAGUACGGCAGAGGGGGAUGGAAUUCCGCGUGUAGCAGUGAAAUGCGUAGAUAUGCGGAGGAACACCGAUGGCGAAGGCAAUCCCCUGGGCCUGUACUGACGCUCAUGCACGAAAGCGUGGGGAGCAAACAGGAUUAGAGACCCGUGUAGUCCCUGUCUCUUAUAA